This 253-nucleotide ribosomal RNA is filed under the name uncultured bacterium. RNAcentral describes it as "partial 16S ribosomal RNA". It matches the Rfam family "Bacterial small subunit ribosomal RNA", at positions 524 to 776 of the family's 1533-position model. The record is from RNAcentral.
UACGAAGGGGGCGAGCGUUGUUCGGAAUUACUGGGCGUAAAGGGCGCGUAGGCGGUGUGUCAAGUCAGGCGUGAAAGCCCCGGGCUCAACCUGGGAACCGCGCUUGAGACUGGCACGCUCGAGUCCGGGAGAGGAUGGUGGAAUUCCCAGUGUAGAGGUGAAAUUCGUAGAUAUUGGGAAGAACACCGAUGGCGAAGGCAGCCAUCUGGACCGGCACUGACGCUGAGGCGCGAAAGCGUGGGGAGCGAACAGG